Long non-coding RNA from Neogale vison (American mink), 308 nucleotides. The record is from Ensembl. NCBI's taxonomy places the organism in Eukaryota, Metazoa, Chordata, Mammalia, Carnivora, Mustelidae.
CCCGGGAUGGCGGCGUCAAGUGGGGCAGUCGCUGGUGGAGGUGGUGGAGAGGCUGGUGGCAGGGGCGAGCCCGGCGGAGCCGCCGUCCCGGCCGCUGGAGCCCCGCGUCUGGGCGUGAUUGUCAUCCCGAAAGGCGGAGCUCAGUGGAGUCGUGCUGACCUCUACCCCAGGCACACUGAUGCUGGGCUGACAACAAGAGGGUUGAGCCUGAAAUCAGAUGCCGACCUUGUGGAACAGAGAUGGCACACCAGGCCCAACUGUUUGCAUGUCAGAAUGUUUCUGGGCUUACGGCAUCUGUAUCCAAAAAC